RNAcentral lists this long non-coding RNA (475 nucleotides) under Salmo salar (Atlantic salmon). RNAcentral describes it as "lncRNA (ENSSSAG00000094245.1)". The record is from RNAcentral. Lineage: Eukaryota; Metazoa; Chordata; Actinopteri; Salmoniformes; Salmonidae.
GUUCAUUCUCUCUCAAUUGCGGUCUGUAUUGAUCGCGUUUGUAACGACAUGUCACUUUGUCCAUCCCACCUACUGCAGUGCCAAAGGGAUUCGUAACAACAGCGACAGAAUACCUGACCACUGUGACUGACCCAAACAUGACUCAGAACAUGUUCCAAGAGCGGAUGUACCAUGUUUUCUUUAAGGACUGGCCCUCGAGCCACCCACUCACUAUAACCACCAAUCAGGAAGGAUUCAAAGAUGGGUGGAUUGGAUGCUUGUUUGGGACAGUUGUGGGAUGUUGCAGGUAUUUGUAUCCGUCCUCACCACAGUAAAGUACGCCUGUGUGAGCUUCAACUGUCCCGUCUCAAUGACUACACCAGUCUGGUCUGGCCUGUUUGUGAGUCUGCAUCCCGCUUGUCACUGUCUGAUGAAAGACUGUGUUUGCCCACUGACCUAAUGCUUAGGCAUCCCCGGUUGUCACUGUCUGUUGCCA